AGAGUUUGAUCAUGGCUCAGGAUGAACGCUAGCGGCAGGCCUAACACAUGCAAGUCGAGGGGUAGCAGAUCUAAGCUUGCUUAGAUGCUGACGACCGGCGCACGGGUGCGUAACGCGUAUGCAACCUACCUUGUACUGGGGUAUAGCCCGGAGAAAUUCGGAUUAAUCCCCCAUGGUAUUAUUGGAUCGCAUGGUUUGAUAAUUAAAGGUUACGGUACAAGAUGGGCAUGCGUCCCAUUAGCUAGUUGGUGAGGUAACGGCUCACCAAGGCGACGAUGGGUAGGGGGCCUGAGAGGGUGGUCCCCCACACUGGUACUGAGACACGGACCAGACUCCUACGGGAGGCAGCAGUGAGGAAUAUUGGUCAAUGGGCGCAAGCCUGAACCAGCCAUGCCGCGUGCAGGAAGACGGUCCUAUGGAUUGUAAACUGCUUUUAUUCGGGAAUAAACCUCUUUACGUGUAGAGAGCUGAAGGUACCGAAUGAAUAAGCACCGGCUAACUCCGUGCCAGCAGCCGCGGUAAUACGGAGGGUGCAAGCGUUAUCCGGAAUCAUUGGGUUUAAAGGGUCCGCAGGCGGAUUUAUAAGUCAGUGGUGAAAUCCCGUCGCUUAACGACGGAACUGCCAUUGAUACUGUAAGUCUUGAAUUCGAUCGAAGUGGGCGGAAUAUGACAUGUAGCGGUGAAAUGCUUAGAUAUGUCAUAGAACACCGAUAGCGAAGGCAGCUCACUAGGUCUGGAUUGACGCUCAGGGACGAAAGCGUGGGGAGCAAACAGGAUUAGAUACCCUAGUAGUCC
Molecule: ribosomal RNA, 795 nt
Filed under: uncultured bacterium
Lineage: Bacteria
Description: bacterial SSU rRNA
Rfam family: Bacterial small subunit ribosomal RNA
Source: RNAcentral